This is a long non-coding RNA of Sus scrofa (pig), 1167 nucleotides long. RefSeq lists it as uncharacterized. NCBI's taxonomy places the organism in Eukaryota, Metazoa, Chordata, Mammalia, Artiodactyla, Suidae. The record is from RefSeq and is a predicted model, not a curated record.
CUCCGGCCCUGGGAUCGGCCACAGCCAACCGUUACGCAACCUCAGAUUGACUAGACUUUGAACCAGUCCACUGCUGAUGCAUAGCUCACGGCCCUCCCAUCGACAGGCAGGGAUGUGGAAGUUCCGCGGUCAGGGAUGGAACACACACUACAGCAGUAACAACAGUGGGCCCUUAACCCGCUGCACCACCAGGGAACUCCUGGAACUCAUCCUUAAUGGUGCUGUCGGCCAUGUCUAAGUUUAUGGGGUGUCCAGUUUUAACCACAACAUAGCUCCACCUCUGGGGACACUUUCUUAGGAUCUGGUGUUAAUGAAAUCAGCCAUUCAAAUGCAUAACCAUGAAAACACAGUACACACCUUGACACCAGCGUGGCUGAUCUCCCCAAGGGGCUGGAGAUUCCCAUGGUGCCGAUAAAACAGUAACAGUGACACCAAGAUCCUUCCCGAGUUUAAGAUUUAUCUCUCUAUCAAAACUGCCUCCUCUGACCUCAAGCCCUUUCUCGUCACCUCUGAACUCCAACCUGUGCUAAGCGAACACUAAUCAAACAGACAACUGAGACAGUUGCUGUCACAACAUCAUCCGCUCACUGUAGCUGCGGCUGUAUCCUCAGGAACUACAGACUCGGGGUGUUUCCCAGGGCAGCGUGAGCACCCAGAUCCCCGAGCCAUGGACCACCUGGCCAGAGAGUCGCCAACUGGAGAAUCCUGACACCUAAAACUAAGAAAAGUCGUAGACAUGUCAUAAGACAAUGGUUAACCCCAGUUUUUUCAUUCUUCCCCCUUUAAAACACCCCCAACUCGAAGACCAAGACGGAGGGCAUCCGAGGCUUGUCUCCUUCUCCUUUGCUUGAUGCCCUGCAAAUAAACCCUCACUUUGCCGCACACGCCCGCUGUCAGAGUUGGGCUUUUGGCACCCCGGGCACACCAACUCUUCCUUGAGAGCGCUCAGGGCCUUGGGGUCUGCAGGCCCUCUGCUGGUGUGGGGCUUCUCCUUCGCAGAUCCAGCAGCUCCCGGGCCCCUUUGGCCUGGGGAUCUGGCUGGAGAAUUCCCCUCCAGAGUUUCAGUAUCCCUAGGCAAUAUUUUAGGCUAGCUGCAAAGGCACGAUUUUUGGGUUGGAAGAUGUCUAUUGGUUUAAUAAAAGUAAGAGCCUAAGAUGGCCUUUGGAA